RNAcentral lists this transfer RNA (73 nucleotides) under Vicugna pacos (alpaca). RNAcentral describes it as "tRNA-Ala (AGC) (tRNA-Ala-AGC-663-1)". It matches the Rfam family "tRNA". Rfam says of the family: Transfer RNA (tRNA) molecules are approximately 80 nucleotides in length. Lineage: Eukaryota; Metazoa; Chordata; Mammalia; Artiodactyla; Camelidae. The record is from RNAcentral.
GGAGGGUAUAGCUCAGUGGUAGAGCGCAUGCUUAGCAUGCAUAAAGUCCUGGGUUCAAUCCCCAGUACCUCCA